UUCGGGUUGUAAACUGCUUUUGUACGGAACGAAAAGUCUUGGGNUAAUACCCUGGGAUCAUGACGGUACCGUAAGAAUAAGCACCGGCUAACUACGUGCCAGCAGCCGCGGUAAUACGUAGGGUGCAAGCGUUAAUCGGAAUUACUGGGCGUAAAGCGUGCGCAGGCGGUUUUGUAAGACAGUGGUGAAAUCCCCGGGCUCAACCUGGGAACUGCCAUUGUGACUGCAAGGCUGGAGUGCGGCAGAGGGGGAUGGAAUUCCGCGUGUAGCAGUGAAAUGCGUAGAUAUGCGGAGGAACACCGAUGGCGAAGGCAAUCCCCUGGGCCUGCACUGACGCUCAUGCACGAAAGCGUGGGGAGCAAACAGGAUUAGAUACCCUGGUAGUCCACGCCCUAAACGAUGUCAACUGGUUGUUGGGAAUUUAUUUUCUCAGUAACGAAGCUAACGCGUGAAGUUGACCGCCUGGGGA
RNAcentral lists this ribosomal RNA (469 nucleotides) under uncultured Comamonas sp. Its description in RNAcentral is "bacterial SSU rRNA". It matches the Rfam family "Bacterial small subunit ribosomal RNA", at positions 417 to 879 of the family's 1533-position model. Lineage: Bacteria; Pseudomonadati; Pseudomonadota; Betaproteobacteria; Burkholderiales; Comamonadaceae. The record is from RNAcentral.